UACGUAGGGUGCGAGCGUUGUCCGGAAUUAUUGGGCGUAAAGAGCUUGUAGGCGGUUUGUCGCGUCUGCCGUGAAAAUCCGGGGCUCAACCCCGGACUUGCGGUGGGUACGGGCAGACUAGAGUGUGGUAGGGGAGAUUGGAAUUCCUGGUGUAGCGGUGAAAUGCGCAGAUAUCAGGAGGAACACCGAUGGCGAAGGCAGGUCUCUGGGCAUUAACUGACGCUGAGGAGCGAAAGCAUGGGGAGCGAACAGG
Molecule: ribosomal RNA, 253 nt
Filed under: uncultured bacterium
Lineage: Bacteria
Description: partial 16S ribosomal RNA
Rfam family: Bacterial small subunit ribosomal RNA
Source: RNAcentral